RNAcentral lists this ribosomal RNA (445 nucleotides) under uncultured bacterium. RNAcentral's name for it is "partial 16S ribosomal RNA". It matches the Rfam family "Bacterial small subunit ribosomal RNA", at positions 354 to 796 of the family's 1533-position model. The record is from RNAcentral.
GUGAGGAAUAUUGGUCAAUGGGCGGGAGCCUGAACCAGCCAAGUCGCGUGAAGGAAGAAGGAUCUAUGGUUCGUAAACUUCUUUUGCAGGGGAAUAAAGUGCAGGACGUGUCCUGUUUUGUAUGUACCCUGAGAAUAAGGAUCGGCUAACUCCGUGCCAGCAGCCGCGGUAAUACGGAGGAUCCGAGCGUUAUCCGGAUUUAUUGGGUUUAAAGGGUGCGUAGGUGGUUUGAUAAGUCAGCGGUGAAAGUUUGCAGCUUAACUGUACAAAUGCCGUUGAAACUGUCGGACUUGAGUGUAAAUGAGGUAGGCGGAAUGCGUGGUGUAGCGGUGAAAUGCAUAGAUAUCACGCAGAACUCCGAUUGCGAAGGCAGCUUACUAAGCUACAACUGACACUGAAGCACGAAAGCGUGGGGAUCAAACAGGAUUAGAUACCCUGGUAGUCC